This 225-nucleotide ribosomal RNA is filed under the name uncultured bacterium. Its description in RNAcentral is "partial 16S ribosomal RNA". It matches the Rfam family "Bacterial small subunit ribosomal RNA", at positions 109 to 334 of the family's 1533-position model. The record is from RNAcentral.
AGUAACACGUAUCCAACCUGCCGUCUACUCUUGGACAGCCUUCUGAAAGGAAGAUUAAUACAAGAUGGCAUCAUGAGUCCACAUGUUCACAUGAUUAAAGGUAUUCCGGUAGACGAUGGGGAUGCGUUCCAUUAGAUAGUAGGCGGAGUAACGGCCCACCUAGUCUUCGAUGGAUAGGGGUUCUGAGAGGAAGGUCCCCCACAUUGGAACUGAGACACGGCCCAG